GUCCAGACUCCUACGGGAGGCAGCAGUGGGGAAUAUUGCACAAUGGGGGAAACCCUGAUGCAGCGACGCCGCGUGAGCGAUGAAGUAUUUCGGUAUGUAAAGCUCUAUCAGCAGGGAAGAAGAUGACGGUACCUGACUAAGAAGCCCCGGCUAACUACGUGCCAGCAGCCGCGGUAAUACGUAGGGGGCACGCGUUAUCCGGAUUUACUGGGUGUAAAGGGAGCGUAGACGGCGAUGCAAGCCAGAUGUGAAAGCCCGGGGCUCAACCCCGGGACUGCAUUUGGAACUGUGUGGCUGGAGUGUCGGAGAGGCAGGCGGAAUUCCUAGUGUAGCGGUGAAAUGCGUAGAUAUUAGGAGGAACACCAGUGGCGAAGGCGGCCUGCUGGACGAUGACUGACGUUGAGGCUCGAAAGCGUGGGGAGCAAACAGGAUUAGAUACCCCGGUA
RNAcentral lists this ribosomal RNA (446 nucleotides) under uncultured bacterium. Its description in RNAcentral is "bacterial SSU rRNA". It matches the Rfam family "Bacterial small subunit ribosomal RNA", at positions 329 to 792 of the family's 1533-position model. The record is from RNAcentral.